AGCGAACGCUGGCGGCAGGCUUAACACAUGCGAGUCGAGCGGGCAUAGCAAUAUGUCAGCGGCAGACGGGUGCGUAACGCGUGGGAACGUACCUUUUGGUUCGGAACAACUGAGGGAAACUUCAGCUAAUACCGGAUAAGCCCUUACGGGGAAAGAUUUAUCGCCGAAAGAUCGGCCCGCGUCUGAUUAGCUAGUUGGUGAGGUAAUGGCUCACCAAGGCGACGAUCAGUAGCUGGUCUGAGAGGAUGAUCAGCCACAUUGGGACUGAGACACGGCCCAAACUCCUACGGGAGGCAGCAGUGGGGAAUAUUGGACAAUGGGCGCAAGCCUGAUCCAGCCAUGCCGCGUGAGUGAUGAAGGCCCUAGGGUUGUAAAGCUCUUUUGUGCGGGAAGAUAAUGACGGUACCGCAAGAAUAAGCCCCGGCUAACUUCGUG
This 435-nucleotide ribosomal RNA is filed under the name uncultured bacterium. Its description in RNAcentral is "partial 16S ribosomal RNA". It matches the Rfam family "Bacterial small subunit ribosomal RNA", at positions 29 to 507 of the family's 1533-position model. The record is from RNAcentral.